Molecule: small nuclear RNA, 140 nt
Filed under: Loxodonta africana (African savanna elephant)
Lineage: Eukaryota; Metazoa; Chordata; Mammalia; Proboscidea; Elephantidae
Description: U1 spliceosomal RNA (ENSLAFG00000032890.1)
Rfam family: U1 spliceosomal RNA
About the family: U1 is a small nuclear RNA (snRNA) component of the spliceosome (involved in pre-mRNA splicing).
Source: RNAcentral
AUAGUCACCUAGCAGAUCAGAUACCAUGAACACAAAGGUGGUUUUCCCAGGGCGAGGCUCAUCCAUUGCGCUUUGGCAGUGCUGAACUCUGCAAUUUUCCCACUAGUGAGAAGCUUCUGGUAGUGGGAACUAAAUUCACA